GAUGAAGAACGUAGCGAAAUGCGAUAAGUAAUGUGAAUUGCAGAAUUCAGUGAAUCAUCGAAUCUUUGAACGCACAUUGCGCCCGCCAGUAUUCUGGCGGGCAUGCCUGUUCGAGCGUCAUUUCAACCAUCAAGCCCCAGGCUUGUGUUGGGGACCUGCGGCUGCCGCAGGCCCUGAAAACCAGUGGCGGGCUCGCUGUCACACCGGGCGUAGUAGAUUUUAUCUCGCUCAGGGCGUGCUGCGGGUUCCGGCCGUUAAAAAGCCUUUUUUACCCAAGGUUGACCUCGGAUCAGGUAGGAAGACCCGCUGAACUUAAGCAUAUCAAUAAGGGAGGA
This 335-nucleotide unclassified non-coding RNA is filed under the name soil metagenome. Its description in RNAcentral is "partial contains 5.8S ribosomal RNA, internal transcribed spacer 2, and large subunit ribosomal RNA". The stretch from base 1 to 120 matches the Rfam family "5.8S ribosomal RNA", at positions 35 to 154 of the family's 154-position model. The record is from RNAcentral.